This 68-nucleotide transfer RNA is filed under the name Comamonadaceae bacterium CG17_big_fil_post_rev_8_21_14_2_50_60_13. RNAcentral describes it as "tRNA-Pro". It matches the Rfam family "tRNA". From Rfam's summary of the family: Transfer RNA (tRNA) molecules are approximately 80 nucleotides in length. Their secondary structure includes four short double-helical elements and three loops (D, anti-codon, and T loops). Lineage: Bacteria; Pseudomonadati; Pseudomonadota; Betaproteobacteria; Burkholderiales; Comamonadaceae. The record is from RNAcentral.
GGGCGUAGCGCAGCCUGGUAGCGCAUCUGGUUUGGGACCAGAGGGUCGAAGGUUCGAAUCCUUUCGCC